This is a non-coding RNA of Kogia breviceps (pygmy sperm whale), 705 nucleotides long. The record is from RefSeq and is a predicted model, not a curated record. Lineage: Eukaryota; Metazoa; Chordata; Mammalia; Artiodactyla; Physeteridae.
ACCCUUCUUUAGAGAAGGAGACUUGAGCCUGAAUCCAAUUUCCUCAUCAGAGGAAGCAUCCUUUUUGGAGUAUUUCAAUGUCUGAGUCCUUAUUUUUGAUAGGGAAGAAGCACACAAACGACAGAGAAAGUACACAUUCUUUCUCAGUGGAGGACACUGUCUCAAAUCUUUCACAGACGGAGUUGAAGAAUCUAGAAUCGGUGUGGGACAAUGUGCCUGGCUCCAUUUCCCAAGACCCCCUACAGAUUGGAAACAGUCUCAAAAAAGUGUGCACUGAGAUCCACUGUCUGUUCCAUAACCAUUGGCAGGGAAGCUUCAAGGAGCCAUUAUGUUGCUGUAGAGAGCCAAGGACGAAAAGUCACGAGACCUAGGUCUUUGCCCAGGUGGUAUAAUGACCUUGUUUUUCAAGCUACGAUUUAAUGCAGUCCUUUGCCAUAUGACCCUGCAAUCCCACUGCUGGGUAUAUAUCUGAAGAAAAACAUGAUCUGAAAGGAUACAUGCACCUCAGUGUUCACUGCAGCAUUCUUUACAAUAGACAAGACAUGGAAGCAACCUUAAUGUCCAUCGACAGAGGAAUGGAUAAAGAAGACGUGGUAUAUAUAUAUAUAUACAAUGGAAUAUUACUCAGCCAUAAAAAGAAUGAAAUAAAGACAUUUGCAGCAACAUGGAUGGACCUAGAGAUUGUCACACUGAGUGAAGUAAGUC